UCCCUAUUAGUGCUUUAUCCACCUAAGUCCGUUAAGUUGAGCCUCUGCUCCUUCGGCCGUGUCGAUUUUGUGCUUGAGGUGAUCGAAAUCUUGUGAAUUUUGUGCUUGAGAUAGGACUCGUUGACCCGUUUUGUGAUAAUUAAUAUUUAUCAUGUCUAAUAGAAAGUGUUGUGUUCCCGGAUGUACAAAUGGCUUAGACACUACGGGGUAUUUACAUAAAUUCCCUAAUCCAGAUAAGGAUAGGCAGCUAUUUAAUACAUGGGUCUUUCAUAUUGGUGGUGACAUUUUGCAACUUGAAAAUAACCAUAUUUUCAAAUACCGCCGCGUCUGUAAUGAUCAUUUCGAACCAAAAUAUUGGUGCCGGAAUAACCGACUUGCCAAAGGAGCUGUACCUACAAAAAACAUGCCAGGAUUAUCUUGCUCGAAAUUCAGCAUUGAAAAAAGAGCACUAAGACCUCUUCAGAUUUCAGGACCGUCUACAUCAAAGGUAUAU
This is a long non-coding RNA of Helicoverpa armigera (cotton bollworm), 493 nucleotides long. RefSeq lists it as uncharacterized. The transcript has 3 exons. NCBI's taxonomy places the organism in Eukaryota, Metazoa, Arthropoda, Insecta, Lepidoptera, Noctuidae. The record is from RefSeq and is a predicted model, not a curated record.